CCCUUAGAUGUUCUGGGCUGCACGCGUGCUACACUGAUAUUGCCAAUAUGUCAUUCUUAUCCGAAAUGGAUUGGGUAAUCAAGUAAUGAAAUUUCAUGCUUGGAAUCGGUAAUUGCAAUUUUAUCGUGAACGAGGAAUUCCUAGUAAGCACUAGUCAUCAGCUAAUGUUGAUUAUGUCCCUGCCCUUUGUACACACCGCCCGUCGCACCAAUUGAUUGGAUGACUCGAUGAAAAAUCAGGACUGAGAUUUCUUUUGCUUCAUUGCAGAGGAAGUUUUGGGAAUCUUUUUAAAUCUCGUUAUCUAGAGAUUGGUGAAGUCGUAACA
This 325-nucleotide ribosomal RNA is filed under the name uncultured eukaryote. Its description in RNAcentral is "partial 18S ribosomal RNA". It matches the Rfam family "Eukaryotic small subunit ribosomal RNA", at positions 1470 to 1796 of the family's 1831-position model. The record is from RNAcentral.